AUUGAACGCUGGCGGCAUGCUUUACACAUGCAAGUCGAACGGCAGCGGAGAGUGCUUGCACUCUGCCGGCGAGUGGCGAACGGGUGAGUAACAUAUUGGAACGUACCGAGUAUGGGGGAUAACUAUCCGAAAGGAUAGCUAAUACCCCAUACGCUUUGAGAAGGAAAGUGGGGGAUCUUCGGACCUCACGUUAUUCGAGCGGCCAAUAUCUGAUUAGCUAGUUGGUGGGGUAAAGGCCUACCAAGGCGACGAUCAGUAGCGGGUCUGAGAGGAUGAUCCGCCACACUGGGACUGAGACACGGCCCAGACUCCUACGGGAGGCAGCAGUGGGGAAUUUUGGACAAUGGGCGCAAGCCUGAUCCAGCCAUGCCGCGUGUCUGAAGAAAGGGCUUCGGGUUGUAAAGGACUUUUGUUAGGGAAGAAAAGAAAUGGGUUAAUACUCCAUUUUGCUG
RNAcentral lists this ribosomal RNA (452 nucleotides) under Neisseria sp. oral taxon 499. RNAcentral describes it as "bacterial SSU rRNA". It matches the Rfam family "Bacterial small subunit ribosomal RNA", at positions 30 to 475 of the family's 1533-position model. The record is from RNAcentral. Lineage: Bacteria; Pseudomonadati; Pseudomonadota; Betaproteobacteria; Neisseriales; Neisseriaceae.